GGUGUAGCGGUGAAAUGCGUAGAGAUCUGGAGGAAUACCGGUGGCGAAGGCGGCCCCCUGGACGAAGACUGACGCUCAGGUGCGAAAGCGUGGGGAGCAAACAGGAUUAGAUACCCUGGUAGUCCACGCCGUAAACGAUGUCGACUUGGAGGUUGUGCCCUUGAGGCGUGGCUUCCGGAGCUAACGCGUUAAGUCGACCGCCUGGGGAGUACGGCCGCAAGGUUAAAACUCAAAUGAAUUGACGGGGGCCCGCACAAGCGGUGGAGCAUGUGGUUUAAUUCGAUGCAACGCGAAGAACC
RNAcentral lists this ribosomal RNA (299 nucleotides) under Escherichia coli. RNAcentral describes it as "partial 16S ribosomal RNA". It matches the Rfam family "Bacterial small subunit ribosomal RNA", at positions 672 to 970 of the family's 1533-position model. Lineage: Bacteria; Pseudomonadati; Pseudomonadota; Gammaproteobacteria; Enterobacterales; Enterobacteriaceae. The record is from RNAcentral. RNAcentral also lists the same sequence under 1 other name.